Long non-coding RNA from Pyrus x bretschneideri (Chinese white pear), 1817 nucleotides. RefSeq lists it as uncharacterized. Lineage: Eukaryota; Viridiplantae; Streptophyta; Magnoliopsida; Rosales; Rosaceae. The transcript has 2 exons. The record is from RefSeq and is a predicted model, not a curated record.
AAAAAAAGAUUAAUUUUUCUUAGAAGGGAUUACAAUUGGUGUGAUGUUGCUGCUUUACUUGUUAGAAGGGGAUUACGGUGGUGAUGUGAGUUUUUGUUGAUUAUUUUUUUAGAUUAAUUUUGUUGGUUGUCAUUAUUUUCUCUCUGAAUUGCACUCAAUUGCUUUUUCAGGGUUUACAGGGUUUGUAUAUAAAGGGGAAAAAGUUGCUGCAAAGAUUAUGCAUGUCUUGUGGCUGAAAAAAAAUGAGAGAUAUACAUGUCUUUUGUAUCAAAGGUCCAAUAUAUUUCCGUGUCUUGUGGCUGGAAAGAUAAGACUAUGCUUAUCUAAGGUCCUAUAUACUUUCAUGCUCCUGUCCUUAGGGACUUUAAACUAGCUGAGAAUUUCACUUCACUAGAGAUUCAUUCAAUUUGCAGUCACACACAUUAUCAACUGGUAGAGAUUGAUACACAUUGUAUAUGUCUAAUUCAAAUUUAAUAAAAAUUGACUAUUAAUAGUGGUCCAGUAAUUAGCAAAACUAGUACUCUCUCAUAAAUGGUGGUCUAGUAAUUAGAAUAAAUGUUCAUUAUCCUUUUAGUAAUUCUCAUAAAUAGUGGUCUAUAAAAUGGUGGUAUAUAAGUGGUGGUCCAGUAAUUCUCUCAUGUUUUGUACUCUCUUAUUAGUUUUGUCUUGGUUGUGUUAGAAUAUCAUUUGUCCUUAUUUUAAAAUAUAUGCAUAUAUACAUAUCACUUAUUGGUACCAAUGGCAAAGAAGGGGGCAUCUUCAUCAAAUCCUCCAGCUAUGUGGGAUGCCCACAAUAUAUCUAUAUUUUGUGAUGUAUGCAUCAAGGAGGUUGAGGCCAGUAAUCGUCCAGGCACUCACUUUAACAAACAGGAUAUGUAAAUAUUAGAGUUAAUUUCAAGGCAGAGUAGGGCAUAAUUAUGAAAAAGCACAACUAAAAAAUAAAUGGGAUGAACUUAAAAAUGAGUGGAAGUUGUGGAAAGAGCUAGUUAGUAAAGAAACUGGCUAGGGUGGAAUUCGAGCAAGGGUAUUGUUGAUGCCUCGGAGGAGUGAUGGAAUAAUAAGAUUCAGAUAAACAAAAAAUAUGGAAGGCUGCAGAAAAAAGGGCAUUAAUCCUGAUAUGGAGGACAAGUUAGAUAUGAUGUUUUUGUAUACAAUUGCUAUUGAUGAACAUGCCUAGGAACCUUCUUCUGAAGUACUAGAGACAAGAGAGGAAUCUAUAGGACAAAUUGAUUUAGAUUAUGAGGAAGAAUUUGAGACAAUUUAAGAUAUAAGGCAAGCUACUAGGAAAGGAAAAAAAAAAGAGUGGCUGACCAAGGAGACUUGCCAAAGAAGAAGGCUGAUAAGAAAGGAAAAAAAAUUAAAGGUGCUACAAAACUUUGUGGUUAAAUUGACUGUCUUGUUGAAAUUUAUGAGAGUAGGAGUAUUGCAAACUCAUUGAUGAGGCAAUUGCAUAUAGGCAGUAGUCUUCCAAAAGUGAUUGUGGCUAUUGCAAAAUUGCCUAGGUGUGAGCCACCUAGUGAGUUAUGGUUUGCUACUUGUUUGUUUUGUAGUGCAGAGAAACAAGAGAUGUUCGCCAUAGAUGAAAGAUCUUGAAGUCUGGCUGGCUUUGUUGAAAUUUAUGUUCAACAACCAAUAAGAAGUUGAAACUAUGGAUUAGGAUUAUGUGUUGCUUGUAUUUUGCAUUUGGACUGUGUGUUGGAUGUUACUUGUAUAUUGUGUUUUUGAAUGUUUGAUUAUGUGUUGAACAUUGGAUUAUGAUUUCUUGUUGAACGUUGGAUUAUGACUUGUUGAAUGUGAAAUUACGAUUUCUUGUUGAA